RNAcentral lists this unclassified non-coding RNA (357 nucleotides) under soil metagenome. RNAcentral describes it as "partial contains 5.8S ribosomal RNA, internal transcribed spacer 2, and large subunit ribosomal RNA". The stretch from base 1 to 120 matches the Rfam family "5.8S ribosomal RNA", at positions 35 to 154 of the family's 154-position model. The record is from RNAcentral.
GAUGAAGAACGCAGUGAAAUGUGAUAAGUAAUGUGAAUUGCAGAAUUCAGUGAAUCAUCGAAUCUUUGAACGCACAUUGCGCCCGCUGGUAUUCCGGCGGGCAUGCCUGUUCGAGCGUCAUUUCAACCCUCAAGCUCUCCGGAGUUUGGUGUUGGGGCGCCUGGGGCUUUUCGACCUCAGGGCCCUCAAGUCCAUCGGCGGGACCGCCAGGACACUGAGCGCAGUAGUAUUAUUUCGCUCGGUAGGAUCUUCCACGGCGGGUCGAUCUGGCCGCUAAACCCCCCAAUUCUCACCAAAGGUUGACCUCGGAUCAGGUAGGAAUACCCGCUGAACUUAAGCAUAUCAAUAAGCGGAGGA